RNAcentral lists this ribosomal RNA (506 nucleotides) under uncultured Glomeromycotina. RNAcentral's name for it is "partial small subunit ribosomal RNA". It matches the Rfam family "Eukaryotic small subunit ribosomal RNA", at positions 591 to 1092 of the family's 1831-position model. The record is from RNAcentral. Lineage: Eukaryota; Fungi; Glomeromycota.
CCAAUAGCGUAUAUUAAAGUUGUUGCAGUUAAAAAGCUCGUAGUUGAAUUUCGGGAUUGACACAUCGGUCGUGCCUUAAGGGGUAUGAACUGGUGUAGUCAAUUUCUCACCUUCUGGAGAACCGCGAUGCCCUUAAUUGGGUGCCGCGGGGAACCAGGACCUUUACUUUGAAAAAAUUAGAGUGUUUAAAGCAGGCAUUUUGCUUGAAUACAUUAGCAUGGAAUAAUAAAAUAGGACGGCAUGAUUCUAUUUUGUUGGUUUCUAGGAUCACCGUAAUGAUUAAUAGGGAUAGUUGGGGGCAUUAGUAUUCAAUUGUCAGAGGUGAAAUUCUUGGAUUUAUUGAAGACUAACUACUGCGAAAGCAUUUGCCAAGGAUGUUUUCAUUAAUCAAGAACGAAAGUUAGGGGAUCGAAGACGAUCAGAUACCGUCGUAGUCUUAACCAUAAACUAUGCCGACUAGGAAUCAGACGAUGUUAAUUUUUUAAUGACUCGUUUGGCACCUUACG